RNAcentral lists this long non-coding RNA (19267 nucleotides) under Physcomitrium patens. RNAcentral describes it as "long non-coding RNA (PPAT_LNC001169)". Lineage: Eukaryota; Viridiplantae; Streptophyta; Bryopsida; Funariales; Funariaceae. The record is from RNAcentral.
ACACGCACACCUCUCCCAUCAGGACCUUCAGCAUGCAUUAUGUUACAUGAAGGAAAUUGACAGGGUUUAUGCAAUUGUCAAGAAGGUGGUACGCGAAGUUUGAGUUGCGCAAGGUUCAGAAUUUGAGGUUAAUUUUUAUUACAAUCAUUUCAAACGGAUCUAUUUAGACAUAAAACUACAAAUAGGAGGAAAGUUUGCGAAAGGAGAGGUGCAUACCUGACGUCGCAAGAGCAAGCGCACACGUAGACCGCUUCUCCAGUUCCGCUGAUCUGUCAGCUCUGCUACCUGUAUACACCGCGACAGUGAAUUUAAAAAUUAAAAUGGAUAGUGAAUACAGUGGAACUAGCAGAAGUCCUAGUUGACAUCCAGCUGGUAUUGACAUCUAUAUUUGCAUGAAACAGAGUCUGGUUCAAAACGAAUGCAUCAAAUCGCAUUACAUCCUAGCAACACCUAACAAUGCAAGGUGCGAAUAAUAAAGUUGUUCGUUGCAAGUUGUAGUCGAUCACAAGCUACACAAGCCAUGAGCAGCAGGAAUAAAAUCGUGCGGAUAGUAUUGUAAAGUCAAAUUGCUCACAGCUUUUUCAGCAAGCUCCACGGUUUCAAACUCUACAAGCGCGUGCAACUGCAGGAACAAAAAAUCACGAACCUCACCCUAUUAAAUCACCACCUACACAGCAAAAGCAUUUGGCAGAACAGAAUCGCAGCCGCAGUCGCAGAAAUGCUGUCUCCAAUUCAGGGUAUUGCUGACUUUCACAUACCUAUGACAACAUCUAGUACACCCCUUGAACAACAAAACUACCGUGAACACAUUAUCACUGCCACAAUUCCUGUUCACCUUGUUACUAAUCAACAUGUCGGUCUUUGGAUGCUUUGCUGCAGUUGAAUUGGCUCCAUUGGCAGCCUCUGGAGAACAAAUUCGAACCAUCUUCACUGUUCCGACUUUCCGAAACAACGGUUCAAUGGUCUCAAUAGAAGGGUUCUCUGGCAAAUUUUCAGCUACAACAGUACGUGCCUGCUCAAUAACGACACAUUGAGUUGUCACAACACAGGGUGUUUGAAGGGAAAAAAUGUUCAGACACCAGUGACACAAUAGUUCGAUGAAUGCAUUAUAAUUAAAAUCACAGCUGGAGCUGUUGAGAGAGUAAAUAAUGGUAAAAUCCAACAACAAUUCAAAACAGUAGCCAAUUCGUGGAUCUUAAGGUGUGUCCCAAUAAAACGGCAGAAUAAAGAGACCUGAAUUUCCUCGAGAUCAACUUCUGGGAGUGGAUGCGCUCGCCGGACUUUUUUCCCAUCCUCGCUUACCACCUAUUUUGAGAACCAUGUUUAUAGCGCAAGCAAAGAAUUGGUCCAAAUCUUAAUCAAUAUGAUUUACAGCGGAACAAACAAAUAGCCUUGACAUUGAAUGCACACAAUCAACUCACCAACUGUGUCGAACUUCGCAACGCAGCUGCCACGACUGAGUGAUUCUUCACCAAGUUCUUGAUCUUCCUGAACAACGCCACCACAGGAAUCGGGACUGCAAUCACCCAACUAAUUUCUCAGUACGACUGGAUCUCCCAUUGUGCAGGGGGCGGAAGGCUAUGCAAGACAAAACUUGCACAAAGCAGAGGCCAACAAACAACCGAUUUAACACAAUAAUCAACACUGCAGAAAAAAGACCAUUUAUUCGCACGUACCAAACCCUUCGGGAUCCUUCUUCACAAACUUCAUCAAGUAAUUAUCUGUUGGGAGGUUCGCGUCGCUGAAGUAGAAUUCUACCUGCACACCAUGCAAGCUUCGUUAAUUUUACACAUGAAAAUAUAGGCAUCUCCCACUCAACCACUUACAUUGAAAUCUCACCUACAUGUGAUCCUCAAACAGGUUUCUAACCCCGAUUUACAUUACAGAUAGUUGAGCAGCAAAUACGAAUAACCAUGACCCAAUAAUCUUAGAAGUAUAAAGCACCGUUCCACCCAGGAUAAUUAACGCCUGUGUUUUCAAAAUAAAUCCAUUAAUUUUAGAGAAGUUCAUCCAAACGCUUAACAUCUUCUUUUCAUUUAAGUGUAGUAGAACAUCAUUCUACAUUUUAAAAGUUUAACUAUAGAAGCCUCUGCGGGUGAGAAAAUAUAACAUACAUGAAAAGAUUCAGAAAAUGCAUUAGGAGAGUCUGCUAACCGAUAAGAAAAUACGUUGAAAAUUGAAGUUCCAAACUGUGAAACUAAUCUCCACAGUUCUAAUGACAAUAUGAAGCUUCACUAGAAAGCUCAUUCAUAGCCCUCGCAACAAACCACAUUUCAACCAUAUCCAAGAGAGCAUUAAAACCGGCAGAAGUAAUCACACCUGCUUCACAAUCUUGGCCUUCAGCCCCUCCGUAAGCACGGCCUUUGCAGGCUGCACAGAAGUAGCUGGAAUUGCCUGAACCUGCUCGCUCUCCCCACCAUUCUCCUCUAACAGGAAGACAUUAGGACCACCUUUUGCAACAGCUUCAUCACUGCUAGGUGGAGACUCUGAAAUCUGGUACUCGACAGUAGGAACCACAACGUCCGGCACAAAUUUUGACGAGGAAGAGUCCGUCUCGGACGGCGGAGCUAUUAUCACGGGAAUCACAGAAGAUGGAGCUUGAAUCAAAGACAUAGGACUCAGCCCUAACUCUUGAGGCAGUUCUGACACCGGUAAAGACGUGGAGAAGGCUAUCUGCAGUCCCUUAGGAACAAAUUCAGGUGCUCCUGCAUUCAGCUUGGACCCCGAUAGAGACCGACUGAGAAGAUGUACCUUCCUCUCACUUCUGCCAUCGAAGGCCUGACAUACAAAUAUAUUAGUCAGAAAAGAAGCAAACAAAUUUUACUAAAACACCAAUUAAACUAAAUAAAAAAGGAACUUCAAAACGAAAAAUAAAUAAAUAAAAAGUACACAAUCAUAGAACAACCAUUCAGUAAUCAGUCCUUAUCUGAUCUGAAAUUAAGACACACUCUGCUCGAGAUCAUACGCUGGUAGACCCAAGUGGAACUCAAAGCACAUAAUGGUAUCGCAAUUUACCAGCAUCGAAAAAAACAUACGAUCAUUGAACAGUACUCGUCGACAAUUAAAAAAAUAUCGAAAUAACAAAACAAAUGGGAGGAAAGGACAACAUAUGGAUGGGCUCCAUGCAAGGGAACAAGCUCAGAUCAUGACACGAUGGUUGGAUAACCCACUUAUGCAGAAACUCUCAUUACAAGGUAACUGGUGGAAUAAAGGGAGGGAAGACGAAAACAGGUGACAAUAGAAAAAUGGCCAGAAACCCUAAAUUACUCCGAUUCGGGCCGACGACGUGAAACACAGACAAUAAAUUCCCUCUUUCAAAGUAAACUCUAAGUGUACCAAUUCUACUCUACCUCAUACCGAUACAAUCACUCAUUUCAACCGAAUAUUCUCCACAAACCUAAGUCAAGCAUACGAUCGCUGCAAGAUCGGAGCUAGCAUCGCCAAUCCCAACCACGAAUGCAAUCCCCUUCACCGUCACCUCACAAUUCACAACCACUAAAAUCCAGGUCCAAAUCAAAAACACCGCUGAUCAUGCCACACUCGCACCGAACUCGCAGAUCUCGCCACCAGGGUUCUAACCCGAAGCUCCGCACCGAUCAUCUGCCCGCUCAACGACAUAAAAAUCCUCACAUCGCACACCUCAUGUCCGCCAUCUUCACCCAAACCCCUGUACAUCGAAACUCACAACGGGAUCAAACAAAAGCAACCAUGGCACACCUGAGGAGGAAUGCCGCGAGCGGAAGAUGUCGAAUACGUGCGGCGAUAUCGGACCACAUCGAUGGGCGGAGUGCCCGUGCCAGAGGCAACCAUGGCAUGGGACAAGAGAGGGACACCAGCAGCCCGGCGGUGGUGUUGGUGCUGCUGGUGGUUCUGCUCCUUGGUCGUCGUCGACAUGGACACCGGUGCCGUGGCCAUCACCAUAGGUGCGGCGUCGGCAGCUCCGACAGUGGAGCGAGGACGGUGCUGGGCCGUGGCGGCAGCAGCAGCAGCAGCAGGGGGCGCCAUGAGCGGAGCCCGUCUAGUUGCGCUGCUCUCCCAUGGCCAUGGCGUCCAUGGGCGCUGCGAAGCUCCCACUCUGCGACGAAGGACCUCAGCUCCGCCUUCUCGCCGGUGCUCAAAUCCCCGCUGCUUGAUGCGGCCGCUGCUCCCCCCCCCUGUUAUGCGAGACGGGACGACGACCGUCGUGCACUGCGUUCCCCUCCUAUCGCACGCCGUUCUUGGCGAGUUCCUUUCGGGAGCAUGGUUCCAUCUAACGCCCAUUGUUUUAAGCAAACAUUCUCUUGCUCACAAGAAAAUAUUUGUCUUCAAAAUCUAUAUCAUUAUAAAUGUAUGUAACCUUUUCAUAUAACCAUAAUUUUUUUUAGAAUCUUGUUUGAUUUUGAUUCGUGAAUGAAUGGACACCGUUUGAGCUUGAAUGAUUAGUUUGGAAUUUUGUUUUCUUUUUUAGUUUUCUCUUUUGUGAAAUAUUUUGUACAACAAACAUAAGUUUCUUGAAUACAAAAGAGAACUUCAGUCUUUGAAAUUCGAUUUUAAAGUUACUUCUAAGCUUGGCAUUUUGGAUUAACUGUAGGAUUUGGCAUCAGCGUCCUUAUGCUAUACUUUUCUUCUUUUAUUUUAUUUUUUAUUCUUUUCUUUAUUAAAGAUUUAUGCUUUUUCUAUUGCUCACGAGAUUUUUUUAUAAGAAUUCUUUUUAUCAAGCCCAAUCUUCAAAUAAAUAAAUUUUAUGAAAUUUGAAGUAUAAAUUAAUAAUUUCAAAAUUAUAUGAUUUUAAACUUUUAUUUUUAAAGAUAUUUGCAUUAUUAGUUAAAGUCUAAAAUAUUUGACAUUAGUAUUUUUUAUACAGAUAAAUUUAUUUAUUUAAUUUAUGCUAGUGUCACCACAAUUUUUGUUACUAGCACCACAACUUGUCACCUAGUCAACAUAUUUCUUUAGUUUUUUUUUUUUUUUUUUUUUUAAUUCUAAUUAAUAACCUAUUAAUUUUUUCAAUAUAUAUAUAUAUAUAUAUAUAUAUAUAUAUAUAUUGAACUAUAUAGAAAAUAUAUAUAGAAAUAUAUUGAUCUAUAUAGAAAUAUAUAUAUAUUGAACUAUAUAGAAAUAUAUAUAUAUCAAACUAUAUAGAAAAUAAAUUUCAUUCUAACUAUAAAUAAAAUUUAUUAAGAACUUUUUAAUGCUAAUAUUUGUAUAUAUAUAUAUAUAUAUAUAUAUGAAGAUAGUACUUUCUUAUUUAGCAUUGACAAAAGAUGUAGAUUGCAUGUGGUGGAUAGUGGGUUGAAGUGAAAGCAACAAAAACUAUUGUAGCAUCAACAAUACUUUAUAUAUACAUGUACAUAUGCAUGCAUGUAUACAUACAUACAUAAAAUAUACAUAACUAUUUAUAAAUUAAUUUAAUGGUGUAUAUAUAUAUAUAUAUUAAUAAAAAGAGAUAUUUAAUUAGUGAAAAUUUUAAAUGAAUAUAUAUUUUUCAAAAAUAUAUUUAUUUAAUAAUAUAUAUAUAUAUAUAUAUACACACAUAUCAUUUUAUUGAAUUAGUACAUCUUUAAAAAAAUAAUAGUUUUGUUAAACUUCAAUGUAAAUCUCUUUUUGAUAUUAUUUUGUAUUGUUGAUACUCUUUUGUUUAUAAUUUACAUUGAAUUUUUUAAAAGAUUUAACGUGUUUCUCAAAUUAAAAAAAUUGGACAAUAAAAAUCAAUAUGUUUUAAACUAAUAAAAUAUCAAAAAAUAUAUACAUUUUAAAAUUACAUUUUAAAAAUAAAUAAAUAAAAUAUAUUGUGUUGCUAAUGCCACUACAAUUCAGCACUUACUUGAUAUAUUUCUUUAGUUUUUUACAUUCCAAUCAAAUAUUAUUAUUAAUAGUUAUACAUUUUUUUCUUACAAAUUUUAUAAAAAUUAAUUUUAAUUUUAAUGAACAGUAAUCAAUCAAGAAUCAAGUAAAUAAGAAUCAAUCAAGAUAAUAGUAACAAUAGAUUUUAGAUCAGUGUAUUUUAAAAUCCACAUGUACCAAAUUGAACACUUAUUCAACACAAAAUUUUAAUUGAAGUCACCAACUUACACUUCACAUUUAAGGUACAAACGCCAAAAAUUAUGUUACAAAACUUAUAUUGUAUACUUCUACAAAUACAUACAUUUGUACCUACUAUCCAUCUCAUCCUUAGUAAUUGAAUUGAUGUGACUCCAUUGUGAGGAAGAAUGUCAAAAUGUCUCAACAUAUGGGAUGCGUUCCCCAAGUGCCAGGGACUUCACAACUUUUUGCUUUUAAACCGCACUUUUAUUCUGUCGUCGAGGAUGUCUAACCUCAAAGGAAAAAGGCAAAAGCCAUGCUCAGGUGUGCUUGUGGGGCAGAGUUGUUCCGUGACAAUGGCGAUGGUGGCAGCUUCGGACGGAGCUGAUGCGGAACGAUCCCCGUUCCUCGUCUGCUGGGAUCGGCACCGCCUCACCGCGCCUUCUACAGUCGCUGAUUCCAAGUGAAUUCGGUGAGGGUAUACUGCAAUCCGGACCGCCUGGAAAUCAGCAGAUGCAGAUACUUACCUCGAGGCAUUGCUUUUGGAAGCUUGAAGUGUGUUUCUUCUUCGAUGCGCGAGUCGUGAGAUCCCUUUGGCUCUCGUCCAUUAGGUCCUGGUUUCGCGUUUCGGUCCUUUAGGGUCUCCCUUGUUUGCCAGGCUUUUGUUUCUCGUCAGGAGUUUCUGAGGCUGCCACAGAGGUUUUGUCUUGUGGUGUAGCGUCUCAUUGUGAAACCCUUUCAAAUUACACACCUGAUGCUGUGGAAUAUGAAAGUUUUGGGUGUCGUUUUGUAAAGAUGACCAGCAGCCUGACAAGUGGGUUGUUUAGGGGCGAGGGGUUGGUCUUACGCACUCUCGAGGUUGAUCGAAUUCGGGUAGAAUGUGGCAGGAAAGGAUUGUAGCUGUUGUGGAUUAAAAGAACUUGCUGCAUUUCGAGCAACUUUCAAUGUUCGAGUUUGCCCCUGGUUGUGCAUCGUACAGACAAGAAACUUUCUCGUGGAGCUCUGGUAGAGGAGAGGGUUCAAGGGGAAGUAGCGGUGGAGAAGGUGGGGGAAUUCGAGGAUGUUAAGAAGGCUAGGCCAAGUAAUGUUGUAGAUUCUGCGAAAGGAUUGGAGAAAAGGGUUAUCAAAGGAGAGCAGGCUUUUAAUCAGCUCGCCACUGACGCUGUAAUUAAAGUUUUAGAUGUCUUCUACAAGAACAGGGAUUAUGCGCGUUUCUACGUUUUGGAGACUAUUGCCAGAAUUCCUUACUUUGCGUUUGUCUCAGUUCUAAACAUGUAUGAAAGCUUUGGUUGGUGGAGACGCGCAGACUACCUCAAGGUUCACUUUGCGGAGAGCUGGAAUGAGCUCCAUCAUCUCUUGACCAUGGAGGCAUUAGGUGGAGACGAGCGAUGGGUGGAUCGCUUUUUGGCGCAGCAUAUCGCUGUCGGUUAUUACUUCAUGACGGUAGUUAUGUAUUUACUGAGUCCUCGAAUGGCAUACCAUUUUUCGGAAUGUGUUAAGAAGCAUGCUUUUCACACAUACGACGAAUUUAUUAACUUAAAUGCGGAGGAGUUGAAGAAUUUGCCAGCUCCUGAGGUCGCAGUGAAGUACUAUACUUCUGGUGAUCUGUACUUGUUCGAUGAAUUUCAGACUGCCUGCCCUCCAAAUACGAGGCAGCCAAAGGUCGAAAACCUGUAUGAUGUAUUUUGCAACAUUCGAGAAGAUGAAGCAGAGCACUGUAAGACAAUGUUAGCUUGUCAGACGCGAGGAAAUUUACGUUCCCCUCAUAGUGCAAUGCAUGCUCCAGUUACCUUGCCGACUGGUGCGUCAUCAGCUACUGAAGAAGCGAAAUAGAAUUUGUUGGGGGUUGCCAGAGAUUUACCACCUGCAGAGUGCGCAGAUACUAUUGAGUGCGCAUUGACCUCGAGCUCAUUCGUUGAACGAGCACGAAGAAAUGGUAUUGAAGUGAAUCUUGAUCGACUUCCCGAGUAGUGGCAGUGUACAAAAAAAUUCUUGUAGGCCUCGUGCUGCGUAAGGUUGCGAGGCUUUGUCUGAUUCGCACCUUCAACCAAGUGUUGAGUGCUUUGUUUAUAAAUUGUGGUGUUCUAUGUGCUGGUCUUAGGAAUUAGCCCUUCUAAUCUGAAUUUAAUGUUCACGCAUCUGUGCUUGUUGGUCUCAUGUUCGUGAACUGCUACAGAAUUAUCAAUUGGGCUGCUUUUGUGUUUUUUGGAUGUGUGAACCCCAUUUCAUACAUGAUAUUAUCCUGAUUCACCAGUCAUAUCCGUGAGUACCGACUUGGUUCUCAGACUAUAUAGCUCUCAAUCUUUGCUUAAGUGGACGAGAGGUUAUAGUCCAGUAUGUAAUCAAUUUACUUGUUGAAAACUCGUCUAAUUCUCGAUGUGCUACAACCUUGCACAAGGAUCAGAAUCCUUUGAUUGGUGUUUCACUUGACAUCGCAUAGUUCACAUGAUGGUAAGUUAAUUAAGACGGAGUUGUCAGAGACGAAGCAAAGUGACUGGAGGAGCGGUCUAUCAGUUAACGUAAUCUAAUAAAUGUAUAUACGAAUUGGCUGCUACUGCUUCGAAGCAGUAUUACUUGGAUCGAUUUGCAAUGCAAGCAGAACAGGUAUGGAUUUAAUUUGUUGAAUGUGGAGAAGUAGUCCAGGUACGAUUGUGACAACACCUUCGCAGCCGAUAAGUGGUUCGACAGGGGAACGUUACCUGGAUCAAGAGUGUUAUUUGGGCAGAUUUGCCGCACUCUGUGUGCUCACUCAGACUUCCCAUCUGCAUGUUUUUACUUUGCAUCACAUGGGCAGUGACUUGGGCGACGUCAUCUAAGUGUCAUGCUGACUUGAUUCUCAUGGUGACUUUUAAAACAAGCUCAGAUUGGAACAGAAGUCUCCUUCCAUUCAGUGAUACAUUGCAAGUUGGUCUCAGGAUCUUCUAAUCUGGUCCCUAGAUGUGCAAAGGUGAAGCUCUGGAUGAUUGAACAGCUUGUGUGAGGAGAAUCAACCUCCACACUUCAGGGAGGAUGUGUUAUGAAUGAAUGGUGUUCAUCAAAAUUUUGGUUAGCUGUGAAAUUCUUCUCUAUGCCUGUUAACUUGGGUUGCUUUUGAAUCCACAUGUGACAAGCUCAGGGGAAGAUUCUUUGUCUCAAAAUGAUACUAUACACUUGACAUGCAAUAAUAUACAAGAACAAUAGAAUCUCUACGAGUGUUGGGAUUUGUGCUUGAAAUUUCAUGUAUUAUAAUGAUCUCUAUUGUUUCAUGUACUAUGAUCUCCAAUUUUUGUAAUAUUUCAGAAAAUCUGAAACAAAUAUGUAAAGGACUUUAAUUCUUUUCCUAUUAUUCGUCAUGCACUAGGUGCAUGAAGAACCCUCUAUGUAAAUAUCACUGUGACGAAAAUUGUCCAUAAGUAUAGUUUUGGAGGUUGUUAUGCUAUUAUUUUAUUAUUUUAUUUUUUUUUAUUUUUUUAUUAUGGAACAUCAAAUAUAGAGAUUGGAUGGUUGAAAUUUUAACAAAUGUUUACGAAGUCAAUGAGAAGAUAUCAAUAUAAAAAACAUAAAAAAAAAAAAAACAACAUAAAGAAAUAUGAUGAAGAAAGAACAUAAUUUUUGAAUAAAAGAAAAGAAAGGAAUAAGCUUUAAUGGUGGAUCUUAAAGUCUUGGGCUCUAUUUCUACAAUUAUUGAACUAUAGUUUAAUUGAUAAUAUAUUUAAAAUCAAUGAAUGAAAUAAUAAAUUUUAUAUAAAGAAAAUUAAUUUUUCUUUGAAGAAAAGAUCCUAAAGCUUACAAAUAAUUUUGUGAAUUGAAUUCACUAUAUUAUUCUUACAUAUGAUUGUAGAUAUAGUGUUUUUGUUUUUUUUGUUUUUUUUUGAAAAAUCAAUAAUAUGUUUAUUAAUUUUCAAUUUAUUUUUCUAAUCUAUUUUAAAUAAAAAUUUGACUUUUAAUUCUACUUUGUCGUAGUUCAAUAAUGCUAGUUUGCUAACAAAUUUUGUAAAUUUUUCCAUGUUACAAAGAGCUUUUGCAUACAUUAUUCUUAAUAAAUGACAUAGAGCUUCUUUAUAUCAUUAUUUUAUUAAAUUUUUAAACUUUAGAAAAUAAUGAGCUAAGCUUAUUGUAUCUAAAUUCACUUUGACAACACUUUUUAUGUCUCUUGCAUUAGUUAAAAAUAAUAAGUUAGAAAAAAAGCUUACUAAUUAAUGAAUUUAUAGAGGUAAGUCCUUUACACAAUGUAAUAAUUUUAUUUUAUAUGUCUUUGCUACAAACAUUAUUAUUGCCAAUUGUUCAAACAACAAGAGAUUGGAUAAAUAAUCUUAUUAUCACAAAAUCGUAACAAAUAUAUUUAUCAAUAUUUUAGACAAAUAUAUUAGAAUUGGUGCAAUAAUUUGACCUUAACAAUUGUUUACACUACUAGAUCUCUAGGGAGUAAUUCACUUCUUUGGAAUUAUACAUUUAUAGUAAGAACAUUUGAGUUUGACAUGUAUAUUUUUUAGUAUUUUUUUUUCAAGACUUUGAUGGCAAAGUUGGUGAAUAAUGAGAAAAGAAGUUAUUUUUUGGUUAUUUAGAGAUAGGUAAAAAAAUAAAAAAUAAAAAAAUAUAGAUAGUUAAAUAGAAAUUUAAUUUAUAAUAUAUAUAUAUAAUUUUUAAAAUUCUUAUAAAAAUUGGAGCUUGUAAAUUUGGAGAGUGGUAUCAAAUGAUAUUGUUAACAAUUUUUGUAACAAUUCAAAAACUUUUAAAUAUAAUUAUGAUGUAAUGGUCUAAAAAGAUAUUUCUAUAAAAAUAAUGUAAUAUAAAAUUAUAUAUGUUAUUUAUUUAUUUUUAAAAUUUUAUCAUAAAUAUUGUAAUUUGGUAAUUUAAUUAUAUACUUUGUACUUUUAGUUUUUUUCUACCAUCUUGCAAGAUUUUUAAUCUUUAUUUUAAUAAGAUGAUAUGAAUUAUAUGUAAGGUUUUCUUAUUAUUCACUAAAAGUGUUGUACAGAUCAAUACAUGUCUGAAAAAUCUGUUUAUUAUCCAAAAAAUUUAUAAAAAAGCUACCAAAUAAUUGAUUAUAUAUAUAUAUAUAUAUAUAUAUAUAUAUAUAUUGUAAUUAAUUAUGAAUUUUCUUAAAGUUAUUUUUUUGUUGCUCUAUUGAAAAAGCAAUACAAAUAUUAUUAAAGGACUUUCCUAGUUCUUCCAUAUUUUGUACUGCAUCAUGGAAUUGGCAUAUAGAUGAAAAUAUAUACAAUAGUGCUACAGUGAUGCUACUCAAGUUGUUAAUAGAUAGAACAAUCUAAUAAGCACUAUCUCUAUUUAACUAUUGCUUAAUUUAUUAACUUUAAUGCUAAUAAAUUCAUGACUAUUAUAAAACAUGAUAUAUAUAUAUAUAUUAGAUUAGUUUUUGGUUAUUUUUUAUGUCACUACAAUUAUUGCUAUUGCAACCACAGCAUGCCACUUGUUUCAUAUAUAUAUAUAUAUAUAUAUAUAUAUAUAUAUAAUAAUAUUAAUAAGAAAGAUUUAAAAUUUAAUAAGAAUAACUUGUGGUGGAUUUAGGAAUAUUCUAAUUUAUAUAUCAAUUAAAAUUAAUAUAAAAAUAUGUUUUAUCAUAUGUUUUAUCAAUCACAUUUAUAAAGAUUAUCAUAUUCUUUAUCAUAGAUAGGUAAAUUUAAUAAAAACUUGGGUCUAUUUAACAUUCUCCUAAAUUUACAAUGUGAAAAUAUCACAAUAUUCUACAACACCUGAUGAAUUUUUUAAUUGCAUUAUUAUAAAUGUAUACUUUUUUAAAGUAAAACAUGUAAGUCUAAUAAUGAUGUUAUUUGUAAUUAUAAAAUUUUAAAAGCACUCAAUUAUGCUAUGAUAAUACUAGUAAAAAAAUUAUUAUUUAUUAUUAUUAUGAUUAAUCUUCAUUUAACUCUUCACAGGACUAUGAUUAAAUUCUCUUUCUCUCUCGCAAUACACAAACAUAUACAUAUUGACAAUUAAAAGUGAAAAUAAUUAAAAUGGUGUCACCAAAAACUAUACAUGAUUCCCCGUGUAAGGAGUGAGACGGGGAGAGCAAUUUCAAGAUUUAAACUUUUCGGUGAAUUCAAUGAAUUAUUAACACAGCUGGUAAAAAACAUCGGAACUGUUCUUCAACAUCGCUAGCCUAUUUCAUAUUUAUGCUUUCAAAUAGUGUUACACAGAACUAAUAUCGAUUUAAUAUUCCUCCAUAAGGCAUGCAACUGUAAACAACGUCCUUCGAUCACAAAAGAUUGUUCCUCGAUUGUAAAUGCCGCUCUGCAGUAUUAAAUAACGUUCUUCAAUACUUAACAAUAUUCUUCAAUUACGAACAGCCACAACAUCUUUCCGAAUGUAUCGUACCUGAGUUUCCACAGACGCAGCCACACGAUGAAUGCCACACCGCAAUAAACACCACGUUGACGCCAGCGGGAUUAUGCAGUACCUGACAAAAAAGUCAUCGUGUGCUAAGAAUCCAAUCAAUCUGCAGAGUUAUGGAAGGUUGCAGCAGGAGUGUGUGCGCGACAGCCUAUUCGAUAUGAUUGACAAUUUAAACAGAAACCUCACAUGGUCUCUCACGUCGGUAAGACGCUGACGACAAACCAUGAAUAUUUAUCGCGACAGAGCGACAGCAGCUCAAAGGGUUCAUGUCGCCAUCACAAAUGCCAAACGAGAGUCACGAAAACAUUUCAAACUCCAAAUCUGCAAAAGAGUAGAUCGGCGAGGGGCAUCUUUCAAUUGGCACUACAGACAAACCGCGUCCCAAGACACGGCACACAAUAACGGAACAAUGGACAAUCGUAACCGUAGCACAAGAGCCACACCGCAUCUCCCAGUCCAUCAGGGGGUCUUCGAUUACCGACGUACGCGUGUGGGUUUGGAGUCUCUUGGAGGAAGGGAGGAUGGGAUCUAUGCAAGAUCAGUUGAGUUGACUUGGGAGCGUUGGGGAACCCUUGUGCGCGGAUGAGGGGCGUUCGCGUUCCCAGCAUCCUCGCGGCCCAUGCCGCAAACGGUAGGAAGCGUGGUAUGUGUCAUUGGGAGCCAUGGAGAGAGUAGGGCGUUGAAGGGUACAAAACAGAGAGGAGCACGCCUGGUGUCCAGGCCCUUCGUUUGAGGUCGGGGCCUCUGCUGCAGGGAGGCAAUGGCGAUGGAGGUGCAGCAGCUCUAGACGGGCUCCGCUCAUGGCGCCUCCCGUUGCUACUGCAGCUGCUGCGCCAGCCCAGCCCCGUCCUCGCUCCCCCGUUGAACAUGCCGAUGCUGCACCCAUUCCUGUGGUGAAGGCACCUGCGUCGUCGACGACGACGAUGAAGGAGCAGAAUCAGCUUCACCAGGACCGCAGGGAUGGCGCGCCUCUCUCCGCUUAUUCCAUGAUUGCCUCUGGCAUGGGUACCCCGCCCAUUGAUGUGGUCAAAUUCCGCCGCACGCAUUCGACGGCUUCUGCCUACGGCGGCUUACCUCCUCAGGUGUGGCUUGGUUGCUGGUGGUUUUGAUUGUGUGAUGGGCUUCGAUGUACGGGGUUUGAGUGUAGAUUGUGAGUAUGAGGUGUGUGAUGUGAGGAUUGUCUGUUGUUGAGAGAGCAGUGUGGAGCCUCAGGUUGGAAUUGCGGUGGCGAGAUCUGCGAUUUCGGUUGGAAUAGGUCGUGAUCAGCGGUGCCUGUGAUGUAGGCCCUGGUUGUAGUGGGUGUGAGGUGGAUUUGACGAUGGAAUAGAGUGCCGUCGUGGUUGGGAUUGGCGAUGGCAGUUUCGAUCCUGAAGAGAUCGUAUGCGUGGCAUAGGUUUACGGGGAAUGUGUUUGGGAGAUGAGUGAUUCGAGAGUUUUCGCUGAUGUCAGGCAGAAUAGCUUUGGCAAAGUAUCAGAUUGAAUCGGAAAAGCAGGUUUUGGACAAGUUGCUGGUGAUGGGACUGCGUGAAAUGCCUCUGGGUAGGGAAUUCUGGUUGUCCUGAGUCUUGGCUUCUUGGUUUUUUUUUUUUUUUUUUUUUUUUUUUUUUUAAUAAUUUAAUUUUAAAUUUCUUUCCCUUGUUUGGUCUGUUCCUCAUGGUUGCAUACCUUGUGAGUAUUUCCAUCUCUCUUGUAGCCUUUCCUAGUUCUCAUUUUCAUUCUGUCUACUGCUUGUCCGUUACAACUGGUUUGAUUGCGUAACUUUUCAUCGCGACUUUGACAGUUAGCAAGAAAAUGCGUAGUCAUUCUGUGCAUUGAAUUUUAAUUUGCAACAGUAGAUCUUUUGAGCAUUUGAUUUUGAGCCAAUUUGUGCUGAGCCAAUUUGAGGUUUGUUUCAGGUGUUUGCUAUUUCUUGCGACGCUCUCGUGUCCUAGUCUUUGUUUACACUCCUCGGUUCCCAUGGUGACAGAGCACUAUACAUGCCUUCACAGUUGUGCCCUACGUGCUCACUAGCCAUUCUGAGUGUUGCAUCGAAGAAACGUCUAUUUUUUUGUUCUUUGCUACGCAUUUAUCUAUCUGUCUAUCUAUAUAUAUCUUUUGUACUGACCACUCGAUGUGAAUACCAGAUCUUAGAUUAUAGACGUGGCAAGAAUGACCGGAAGGUUCCUCUUCUCAGUCGAUCUUUAUCGGGGUCGAAGCUGAAUGCAGGAGCUCCUGAAUUUGUUCCGAAGGGACUGCAGAUAGCUUUUUCUACGUCUUUACCGGCACCAAGGCGUGCUCAAGAAUUAGGGUUGAGUGCCCCGUCUUUGGUUCUUUCUCCAUCGUCUGUGAUUCCAGUGCUUGUAACUCCACCGUCUGGCGUUAUCCAUGCCGUGCCGGCGGUUGCCGUUGCCAAGGUUGAGGAACAUGUCGCAGAGUCUCGACCUAGUGUUGAUCGGGUUCUCGCAAAAGAUGGCACAGGUUGCUCCGAUGUUACGGUGGCAGUGGAGCAUAGUGAGGAGUGCGACCAGACUCAGGCAGCUUCAACCUCUGUGUCACAGCCUGUUAAACCAAUCGUCACGGAGGAGCUGAAGGAUAAAAUAUUGAAGCAAGUAUGUUUGUUUCGAACUUUUGAAUUACUUUUGUCGGGAGGUUCAUUUGUAAAGUAGAGCUUGCGAACAAUGCGCAUUUUCUCCUUGAAGCUCUAGUAUGACCUUGUGGAUAAUUUAGUGGUUUUAGUUGUGGCCUUCGAAGUAGAAUCUUACACGCAUUAUCUUUGCUGUAGAAGUUUCCACUUGGACAACCUCUACACGUGACAACUCGCGUUGAAUGAGUUGUUUUUGAUUGACAGAAAGGAAUAUGAGUCUUAUUCCUCAACCUCCGUGGUUCUUUUGCGGUAGCCUUUUUAUUUCGACUGUCGGAAUCAUUCAUAAUAUGUAAUUAGUUGGAUUAUCGUAUACCUCGUCCCAUGUGGUAGAGUAGAGUACUAGAUUACUGAUGUUAUUCGUUGUGUUGAAUACAUGCUUCAGUGAUCGUGAUGAUUUUCUUCUUGCAUGCGUUCAACGAUUAUAAACAGAGAAUGCUAAUACAUUCAUGGGAAAUAUUAACGCAUCUUGCAUUGCGUGCCAGGUGGAGUACUACUUUAGUGAUGCGAACCUCUCAACAGACACCUACCUCAUGAAGUUUGUGAAGAAGGAUGCAGAGGGCUUUGGUAUGUGAUUCUUAUCGGUUUGUUACUUGUAGUGUUAAUCACAGCGUCUUUAUGGAUGUAUUUUUGCCUCUUCAGAGAGAAUUCUUUUGUCGUUUUUAGCCUUUGCCGUCCCUGGGGGAUGAGAUUUCUAGUGAUACUAAGAAUUGGUUGGUGGUCACAGUCCCAAUUCCUGUGGUGGCGUCAUUCAGGAAGAUCAAGAACCUGAUGAAGAAUCACGGAGUUGUGGCAGCUGCGUUGCGAAAGUCGACUCGGUUGGUGAGUGCAUGAUUGUCCUAAUAGUUUUGAAACAUAAUCUUCAUUGUUUGUUUGUUAACAAUAUUUAACGAGGUGUGCUAUCGGAAGGACUUCAGUUGGAUAUUAACUAUGUGAAUCACAGUUUUAUAUUAUUUCAUGGUUGCGUUUAUGAAUUUGCGUCAUUGCGCCUUCUGUUUCGAAGAAAUUAGAAACUUCGCCAACAUUUCAUUCACAUGGUAAACAUGCUGGUUGAAUCAGGUUCUAAGCGAGGAUGGGAAAAAGGUCCGGCGAGCUCUCCCACUUCCAGAUGUUGAUUCAGAGGAAGUGCAGGUAUGAGUUUUAUUUAUUUAUUUAUUUUAUCGAUUCUCUAACUUACUCAUUAUCUCGUAAUUUAUUCACCUAGUUUUUAUACCUCGAGGUUGUCGGCAGUAUGUGAUGUCACACUUAUCAUGGUAGCGUGGCAGACUAUCAUUUUUCACAUCCGAAAUUAUUUCUCGUCAACUUCUCUCACCCCCCUUGGGUUUUUUUUUUUUUUUUUUUUUUUUUUUUUUUUUCAGUGAUAACUUCGUUUCACUGCUGGGUUUUCUGAUAAUCUGUUUUGGCGUAUUUGAGCAGGCACGCACUGUCGUAGCUGAGAACUUGCCUGAGGAGCACUCCAUUGAAAGCAUGGAACAGUUGUUUGGUAAAGUGGGCACUGUCAAGUUGGUUCGGAUCUGUUCACCAGAUGCUGCCAUUGGGACCCAUGGAGCUGGAGGGAGGCAUACGAAGAGUGACAUGCUAGUUAGCAAUAAGGUGAGGGCUUACUAUGUACUAACACCGAUUGCAAUUUGAACCUUGCUCUUGUUAUUGAAAUGUUCGCAUGCACUAAUUUGAUGUAAAUGUUACAUGAAUAGAGAACAUCAUAACAGGAGAGACCAUGGGCGUUGUAGUUAGAUUUGUUUAAAAUCUAGGCCGCUCUUGGACGUGAGUAGGUACAUGACAGAUGAUUAACUUCUGUUACAGUUGCACGCAUUGGUGGAAUACGAGACCGUGGAGCUUGCUGAGAAAGCUGUAAGUAUUGAUAUGCUAAAAGUUUUCUAAUCCUCGCAUACGUGCUUUUCGUUUAACAUAUAUUCAUGAAACUCUAGAAAACCGUCUUGGCUUUUGAACAAAACUCUCCACAAACGGACUCGUAAGUAUCAUGAACUGAAUCAGAUUCCUGUACUAAGUUUGCGAGGGGUCAAAGCGCUUGCAGUCGGGCGCGAAUGCUUACAAGGUAACUUCUUCUGCCCAGGUGACUGAGCUGACAGAUGAGAGAAACUGGAGAAGUGGACUACGUGUUCGUUUGCUGCUGAAACGUCAGGUAAUUGCGUUCAAAUUUCCUAUAGCUCAACUAAGUACAAUGGGAGUCUUUGUGUUGCCACUGUAGCAGUACAUGAUACAGUCAUGUAUACCUUACAUUUUGGAUAAUUGCGGUGCUUUCCAAGUUCGACUGUGCGUCGAAUAUAUCUAUUCCCCGGUCGACAAGCUUUUGAGUAUUGCACGCUGAAGGUCCUGAUGGGAGAUGUGUGCGUGUGCACAGUUUCAGAACAAACAAAAUUACCAGCAGGCCCCUCAUCAGAGGACGCGCAAACCAAGUAUGGACGGCAUCGAUCUCGUGAUGGAUGAUGAAGACGGUGACAAGGCAGAGAAGGACGCCGACAGAUCUCGCGACAAGGCUGGUGGGGAAUCAACAUGCCACAACCAUCACGCAGAUCGUGGCGACGAGGUUAUGGUGAGUUGUGUGAGCUACGCGAUGUGCGGAUUAGAGUGGGCGUUUGUCCUUUCGUGGCGGGUGGUGGUUUGGUAGUUGCGGGAGGCAGUGUGUUGGUGUGCGGGGAUAGUGGGAGAAUGGGUGGGAGGGGAAAACGUGAGAGGAUGUUGAGGAGAUAGGUGUGUUGGUGUGCAUGGUUGCAGGGUGAGGGCGGAGAUCAUGUGAACAAGAAGGGAAGAGGUCGAGGCCGAGGUGGGAGAACGGGUGGAGGUGGUCGGGGUCGCGGUCAGCAGUUUUACAACACGCACGUGGGGACACCACCUCGGGACGGUUUACAUGUGGUGAGCGAGAUGAUAGGAAAGCCGCCGCCAGGACCUCGCAUGCCGGAUGGGACACGAGGGUUCGCGAUAGGCAGGGGCAGGAUGGUGAGCGCGAUGAGCAGCUGUGAAGAGCGUGGCGUAGCAGUGUAGGUGGUGAAUGUGGAUGUAGGUAUUGGAAAGUGGAGCAGUGUGGCUCCGAGGGAAUAUGAUGUGAUUAUGGUGAAGUGGGUGUAGUGUAUGCGAUGCAGUGUGGGAUGUCUGAAUGCAUGGGAUGGGAUGGGAUGGGAUUGAGUGUUCGAUGUGCAGGGAUGAGAGAGUGGGUUUGGGGGGGGGGGUUGUGUGCGUGUGUGCAAUGUAGUUGUACGGACGAGCAGACUUGAAAUUUCUAGAACGGAAUGAAGUCGACAUACGCAGACUAGGAUAGUUUCAGCGAAAACUGGCUACGUUAUGACCAAAGAAUUGCAUGCCGGGUAGUUUAGGUUGGGAUUUUGUAGGAUCGGUUUGUGUUGAUGUUGGUAAUGUGUGAAGUGUGUGUUCAACUUUGCAUGGGUGAAUGGAGGUUAUGUCGUCCUGGUGAAUGACACUGAAUGUGAAAUGUUUGAAAAGGAAUCUCUUGCAUGGUGCAUCAAAGAAUUAGUAAGAUCCAAACAUGAAGUGGAUGUCAGGUCCUAGACCAACGUCUUUUGCAACCAAAUCGUAUUUCUGUUCUGAAAUAAUUUUAGAAUUGUAAAUAAUAGUAAAACAAAAGUUGUGUGAGAACAGAGCUAAACAACAAGUUUCUUAGAUAUUUGCUUUGAUAUCUGCACUCCAAGCGGAACUAUUUGUGAAUCGUAUGUAGUUGAGACUGCGGCACUUGAUUAGCGGAGUUUUUCAGUAAUCUGGUGAAUCAUGAAGCUCUAUUACAUAAGUUUUUGUAGUACGAUUACUGUGUGGCAGAAAAACUGCGCCGACUAUAAUCGUAAUAAUUGAUCUAGAAGUCCAUUAUUGAAAUAUUUGCAAUGAACAUAAUUAUGUAGACAUUGACCAUGAAAUUUAUAAAAGUCACCCUUUGAAGGUAGUUGAAAGAAGUUAUUCUAAAUUAUGGUGUCAAUGUUUGACGAAAAUGAAAUGUGAAGCACUGAAAUAUGAUUCUCUCUCUUUAUUUAUCUUUCAUACAAAACAAUUCAUGAUAGACAAAUAUAAGAGAUAAAUAAGAGGAGACAAAAACUCUCUCUAAUUGGGUGCAUGCAUUAUUGUUUUCAUCAAAAGUAAAUCAAAAUUCGAAUUUACAAGGCCUUAACAAAACCAAGCUAACAGUGAUUGUAUCAAAAGACUAUGCACAAUUGCAUGGUAUUGAGAACAAUGCAAGCUCAAAGCAUAAUCGGUUGGAGUUUCGCCUCACAAGAAUUUUGUUUGCCACUAGCAAAUUUGUAUUGUUAAUUCAAGGAGGGCAAUGUGAGGAGAGUAUAAAAAUAAAAUGGGGAG